AUUGAACGCUGGCGGCAGGCCUAACACAUGCAAGUCGAGCGGAUGAAGGGAGCUUGCUCCUGGAUUCAGCGGCGGACGGGUGAGUAAUGCCUAGGAAUCUGCCUGGUAGUGGGGGAUAACGUCCGGAAACGGGCGCUAAUACCGCAUCCGUCCUGAGGGAGAAAGUGGGGGAUCUUCGGACCUCACGCUAUCAGCUGAGCCUAGGUCGGAUUAGCUAGUUGGUGGGGUAAAGGCCUACCAAGGCGACGAUCCGUAACUGGUCUGAGAGGAUGAUCAGUCACAAUGGAACUGAGACACGGUCCAGACUCCUACGGGAGGCAGCAGUGGGGAAUAUUGGACAAUGGGCGAAAGCCUGAUCCAGCCAUGCCGCGUGUGUGAAGAAGGUCUUCGGAUUGUAAAGCACUUUAAGUUGGGAGGAAGGGCAGUAAGUUAAUACCUGGCUGUUUUGACGUUACCAACAGAAUAAGCACCGGCUAACUUCGUG
This 484-nucleotide ribosomal RNA is filed under the name uncultured bacterium. RNAcentral describes it as "partial 16S ribosomal RNA". It matches the Rfam family "Bacterial small subunit ribosomal RNA", at positions 30 to 507 of the family's 1533-position model. The record is from RNAcentral.